Molecule: ribosomal RNA, 514 nt
Filed under: uncultured bacterium
Lineage: Bacteria
Description: bacterial SSU rRNA
Rfam family: Bacterial small subunit ribosomal RNA
Source: RNAcentral
CUACGUGCCAGCAGCCGCGGUAAUACGUAGGGCGCAAGCGUUGUCCGGAAUUAUUGGGCGUAAAGAGCUCGUAGGCGGCUGGUCGCGUCUGUCGUGAAAACUUCCGGCUCAACCGGGGGCUUGCGGUGGGUACGGGCCGGCUAGAGUGCGGUAGGGGUAACUGGAACUCCUGGUGUAGCGGUGGAAUGCGCAGAUAUCAGGAAGAACACCGAUGGCGAAGGCAGGUUACUGGGCCGUUACUGACGCUGAGGAGCGAAAGCGUGGGGAGCGAACAGGAUUAGAUACCCUGGUAGUCCACGCCGUAAACGUUGGGCACUAGGUGUGAGGCUCCUUUCCGGGGGUUUUGCGCCGUAGCUAACGCAUUAAGUGCCCCGCCUGGGGAGUACGGCCGCAAGGCUAAAACUCAAAGGAAUUGACGGGGGCCCGCACAAGCGGCGGAGCAUGCGGAUUAAUUCGAUGCAACGCGAAGAACCUUACCAAGGCUUGACAUGUUAACUGUGGCUCUAGAGAUAGG